CCUACGGGAGGCUGCAGUAGGGAAUUUUCGUCAAUGGGCGCAAGCCUGAACGAGCAAUGCCGCGUGAACGAGGAAGGUCUUCGGAUCGUAAAGUUCUGUUGAAGGGGAAAAAGAGCGGAGAGAGGAAAUGCUUUCUGAUUGAUAUUACCCUUCGAGGAAGUCACGGCUAACUACGUGCCAGCAGCCGCGGUAAUACGUAGGUGGCGAGCGUUAUCCGGAAUGAUGGGGCGUAAAGGGUGCGUAGGCGGCCUGCUAAGUCUGGAGUGAAAGGUACCGGCUCAACCGGUACAGGCUCUGGAAACUGGCGGGCUAGAGGGCAGGAGAGGGCGGUGGAACGCCAUGUGUAGCGGUAAAAUGCGUAGAUAUAUGGAAGAACAUCAGUGGCGAAGGCGGCCGCCUGGCCUGUUAACUGACGCUGAGGCACGAAAGCGUGGGGAGCAAAUAGGAUUAGAUACCCCUGUAGUC
RNAcentral lists this ribosomal RNA (465 nucleotides) under uncultured bacterium. RNAcentral's name for it is "partial 16S ribosomal RNA". It matches the Rfam family "Bacterial small subunit ribosomal RNA", at positions 338 to 795 of the family's 1533-position model. The record is from RNAcentral.